CAGUAGCCGCGGUAAUACGUAGGUGGCAAGCGUUGUCCGGAAUUAUUGGGCGUAAAGCGCGCGCAGGUGGUUUAAUAAGUCUGAUGUGAAAGCCCACGGCUCAACCGUGGAGGGUCAUUGGAAACUGUUAAACUUGAGUGCAGGAGAGAAAAGUGGAAUUCCUAGUGUAGCGGUGAAAUGCGUAGAGAUUAGGAGGAACACCAGUGGCGAAGGCGGCUUUUUGGCCUGUAACUGACACUGAGGCGCGAAAGCGUGGGGAGCAAACAGGAUUAGAUACCCCCGUAGUCCCUGUCUCUUAUAC
RNAcentral lists this ribosomal RNA (301 nucleotides) under uncultured bacterium. RNAcentral's name for it is "partial 16S ribosomal RNA". It matches the Rfam family "Bacterial small subunit ribosomal RNA", at positions 509 to 807 of the family's 1533-position model. The record is from RNAcentral.